Long non-coding RNA from Clarias gariepinus (North African catfish), 2078 nucleotides. RefSeq lists it as uncharacterized. The transcript has 3 exons. NCBI's taxonomy places the organism in Eukaryota, Metazoa, Chordata, Actinopteri, Siluriformes, Clariidae. The record is from RefSeq and is a predicted model, not a curated record.
GUAAAUAACAGCUAAUAUGGCUUCUAUUAAUUGCUAUGGAUAUUCCCGUGGAUUCACUGCACUGCAAUACGGGAGAUAUGAGGAGGACAUUUACUGGAGGAUAGCUGAGGAGAAGUGCCCGUACUUGGAGGUACAGCGGCCCAGACUUGCUCCCCCAGUGUUCAUAAAGGACCUCAGGAUACCUAACCCACCCCACCCGCUGCUACUGGGGGUCCCUGGAUCCAGGCGGGAUAAGCAGAAUACAGGCUGAGCACUGAGUAGACAAAAGGGGGUCUACCAAAGUUCAAGGUCAGACUGUUACUCAAAAAUUAAAAAAUUAAAAGUAUGAGGUAAUGACAGUAUUCCAGCUUCAUGUAAUCAUGCGUAAAAGUCUCAUAAAAGCCAAUUUUUUGGAUGUUUUAAUUAUGGCUGGCAGGUGGCAUAUUUCUGAAGCUUGUGACUUAAACCUCUUGUUUGUGACAAGGAUUUUUUUAAAAUACCCAUUUAUGCAAGAACGGGGCUACAUAUGAGGUUUUGUUUCUUCUGCUUUCUUGAGAAAUUCUGUGGUGGGUCAUGAAUCUGUCACUAUAUAUCUGCUGUCCUUUUUGUACUUCCUAAUAAACAGUGGUACAGACAGUCCUAUGACACAAAGUUUGGUUGUAAACAUGAAGUUUAAAUUCCAGCUUUGACGCGUCUUUUCCGUAGGUCAAGGACCUCCAUGCUACAUCAGUUACUUUGAAGUCUUGGUACAUUUACAGAUACAUCCAAAUAAAUGCGCAACAAAUAUAAGCAGGAAGUGGGACAAACUGAUCUGAUGUUUCUAUAUAUAUACUGUGUGUGUGGGUGCGUGUGUACAUAUGUAUAUAUACACACACAAAAUUUCAAAUCUGUCACUUUUAAUUCAGAUUAAUUCUUGAGAGGUUACAGCUCUCAUAAGCUGAGAUGUUUUAUCUCUUACCCAACUGUCCUUUUUUUAAUGAGAAGUGCAGCAUUCUUUUUAACCAGCAGAUAUGUUCUGCAGAUCAGUAACCAAAAAGAGAACCCAUGAUAACAGUCCACUAAACUGUAUGUCUUCUUUUAAAAAAAGGAAAACAAUUCAAGAUGUAUAUGGCUCUAAUUUAGACUGGGUCAUCUUUUAAUAAUUCUUAAGGAUCAUAAUUUCAUAUGAAAUCUGUAUGUAUGUGUGCAUUACACAUACUAUGACUCAUACAAGAGAGGAGGGUGUUAUACUCAGUGUAGAGGAAGUAACUUUCUGUAAUUAUUUACAAGAAAAGGGGAAUCUGUCAGGGUUUACUAUGUAAAGAGAGUAUGCAAUUUUCCAUCCGUCUCAAAUAAUCAUUCCUCGUUAACUUCUGGGGACUUCUGGGGUCUAGGAUAAUACAGUGGUUAAGGCAUUGGACUACGGUUUGGAAGAUCCCAGGUUCAACCCCCAUGACCAUCAAGUAAUCCCUGUUAGGGGUUUGAGCAAGGCCUUUGACCCUCAACUGCUCACAUGUAUAAUAAAACACAAAAAUGUUAGUCGCAUCAAGGGCAUCUCUCAAAUGCCUUAAUGUAAUGUAACUUUGCAUCUCUUUGCUACCUUAAAUGGGAAUCAAAGGAGUCGAGAACAAACAUGUACCAAAUAUAAGUUUUAGCAAAUACAAGCUUUAGUCAUUUUACUUCAAACAUUUUCCAGUUGUACAUUACAGUAUUACAAGGAUUGUAAGGCUUGUACACUCAUGAUUUUCCCUGAACAGUUAUUAACUGUUUAAAUUUGUGCUAAAUGAUUUACCGUUUUAAAACCAAUAGCCUGAAAAACAGAGGAAAAGGAGCUCGCCAAGCUUAAGGAUGGCAUAAUGAUAUUAUUAGCUUUAUAGUCAGGAAAUGCUUUCCAGCAGCAGAAAUUGUGGAAUUUCAGCUAGAUGAAAGAUUUGUACGUGAUUCCUUAGUACACAGUAUUUUUUAGUACACAGUAAAAUAUAUACCCCUUUGUAAUGUCCAUUUAAUUGAGAUGUUUCCUUGUGAUUUGCUGCUUGUUGUGUUUGAGGUUAUCUGAAUGUUGUACAGUGGAGGAGAGCAUAUUUUAACAGCAUAAUUUAUCACUUUGAAAUUAUCAUUAU